This 235-nucleotide ribosomal RNA is filed under the name uncultured Anaerolineaceae bacterium. RNAcentral describes it as "partial 16S ribosomal RNA". It matches the Rfam family "Bacterial small subunit ribosomal RNA", at positions 1150 to 1378 of the family's 1533-position model. Lineage: Bacteria; Bacillati; Chloroflexota; Anaerolineae; Anaerolineales; Anaerolineaceae. The record is from RNAcentral.
UGCCGGUAGUUAAGUCGGAGGAAGUGGGGAGUGACGUCAAGUCAGCAUGACCUUUAUAUCCAGGGCUACACACACGCUACAAUGGUCUGUACAAUAGGUUGCCAAGCCGCGAGGCGGAGCCAAUCCUAAAAAGCAGGCCUCAGUUCAGAUUGCAGUCUGCAACUCGACUGCAUGAAGUUGGAGUUGCUAGUAAACGCAGGUCAGCUAUACUGCGUUGAAUACGUUCCCGGGGAUU